RNAcentral lists this ribosomal RNA (497 nucleotides) under uncultured bacterium. RNAcentral's name for it is "partial 16S ribosomal RNA". It matches the Rfam family "Bacterial small subunit ribosomal RNA", at positions 28 to 507 of the family's 1533-position model. The record is from RNAcentral.
GAUGAACGCUGGCGGCGUGCCUAAUACAUGCAAGUCGAGCGAACAGACGAGGAGCUUGCUCCUCUGACGUUAGCGGCGGACGGGUGAGUAACACGUGGAUAACCUACCUAUAAGACUGGGAUAACUUCGGGAAACCGGAGCUAAUACCGGAUAAUAUAUUGAACCGCAUGGUUCAAUAGUGAAAGACGGUUUUGCUGUCACUUAUAGAUGGAUCCGCGCCGCAUUAGCUAGUUGGUAAGGUAACGGCUUACCAAGGCAACGAUGCGUAGCCGACCUGAGAGGGUGGUCGGCCGCACUGGAACGGAGACACGGUCCAGACUCCUACGGGAGGCAGCAGUAGGGAAUCUUCCGCAAUGGGCGAAAGCCUGACGGAGCAACGCCGCGUGAGUGAUGAAGGUCUUCGGAUCGUAAAACUCUGUUAUUAGGGAAGAACAAAUGUGUAAGUAACUAUGCACGUCUUGACGGUACCUAAUCAGAAAGCCACGGCUAACUACGUG